GAUGAACGCUGGCGGCGUGCUUAACACAUGCAAGUCGAACGGUGAAGGCGGAGCUUGCUCUGCUGAAUCAGUGGCGAACGGGUGAGUAACACGUGAGCAAUCUGCCCCUGACUCUGGGAUAAGCGCUGGAAACGGCGUCUAAUACUGGAUACGAGCUGCGAAGGCAUCUUCAGCAGCUGGAAAGAACUUCGGUCAGGGAUGAGCUCGCGGCCUAUCAGCUUGUUGGUGAGGUAACGGCUCACCAAGGCGUCGACGGGUAGCCGGCCUGAGAGGGUGACCGGCCACACUGGGACUGAGACACGGCCCAGACUCCUACGGGAGGCAGCAGUGGGGAAUAUUGCACAAUGGGCGAAAGCCUGAUGCAGCAACGCCGCGUGAGGGACGACGGCCUUCGGGUUGUAAACCUCUUUUAGCAGGGAAGAAGCGAAAGUGACGGUACCUGCAGAAAAAGCGCCGGCUAACUACGUG
RNAcentral lists this ribosomal RNA (468 nucleotides) under uncultured bacterium. RNAcentral describes it as "partial 16S ribosomal RNA". It matches the Rfam family "Bacterial small subunit ribosomal RNA", at positions 28 to 507 of the family's 1533-position model. The record is from RNAcentral.